This 268-nucleotide small nuclear RNA is filed under the name Erinaceus europaeus (western European hedgehog). RNAcentral describes it as "7SK RNA". It matches the Rfam family "7SK RNA". Rfam says of the family: 7SK was discovered as an abundant small nuclear RNA in the mid-70s but a possible function has only recently been suggested. Two independent studies have found that 7SK RNA binds the CDK9/cyclin T complex (known as elongation factor P-TEFb). Lineage: Eukaryota; Metazoa; Chordata; Mammalia; Eulipotyphla; Erinaceidae. The record is from Rfam by way of RNAcentral.
GGAUGUGAGGGCGAUCUGGUUGCAACAUCUGUCACCCCAUUAUGGUCAGGAUUGAUUCCACUGGUCUGGCUGGCUAGGUGGGUGUCCCCUUCCUCCUUCUCCGCUCCACCCCAAAUUGAGACGGACUGGUCUAUAGUCGAAGGUAUAUGAAAUAAAAUCAAAUGAUAACUUUUGCACUUUGUUCUUUCUGAACAUCAAUGUAAUUUUAAACAAUUUUUAAAAAAUAAAUAAAAUCACUAUCAACUUAAACCUUAGAAUAUGUGAAUGG